UGCCAGCCGCCGCGGUAAUACGGAGGGUGCGAGCGUUAAUCGGAAUUACUGGGCGUAAAGCGCACGCAGGUGGUUUGUUAAGCUAGAUGUGAAAGCCCAGGGCUCAACCUUGGAAUAGCAUUUAGAACUGGCAGGCUAGAGUCUUGGAGAGGGGAGUGGAAUUCCAGGUGUAGCGGUGAAAUGCGUAGAGAUCUGGAGGAACAUCAGUGGCGAAGGCGGCUCACUGGCUCGAUACUGACGCUGAGGUACGAAAGUGUGGGGAGCAAACAGGAUUAGAUA
This 279-nucleotide ribosomal RNA is filed under the name uncultured bacterium. Its description in RNAcentral is "partial 16S ribosomal RNA". It matches the Rfam family "Bacterial small subunit ribosomal RNA", at positions 506 to 784 of the family's 1533-position model. The record is from RNAcentral.